This 76-nucleotide transfer RNA is filed under the name Clostridia bacterium. Its description in RNAcentral is "tRNA-Ala". It matches the Rfam family "tRNA". Rfam says of the family: Transfer RNA (tRNA) molecules are approximately 80 nucleotides in length. Their secondary structure includes four short double-helical elements and three loops (D, anti-codon, and T loops). Further hydrogen bonds mediate the characteristic L-shaped molecular structure. tRNAs have two regions of fundamental functional importance: the anti-codon, which is responsible for specific mRNA codon recognition, and the 3' end, to which the tRNAs corresponding amino acid is attached (by aminoacyl-tRNA synthetases). tRNAs cope with the degeneracy of the genetic code in two manners: having more than one tRNA (with a specific anti-codon) for a particular amino acid; and 'wobble' base-pairing, i.e. permitting non-standard base-pairing at the 3rd anti-codon position. The record is from RNAcentral. Lineage: Bacteria; Bacillati; Bacillota; Clostridia.
GGGGCAUUAGCGCAGUUGGUAGCGCGUUUGAAUGGCAUUCAAAAGGCCAGGGGUUCGAAUCCCCUAUGCUCCACCA